UAUCAUGGCCACAUCUCUCUGAAUGCUACUGCUCUCUUUUUGAUUUCAGAAGCUAAACAGGGUUGGGUCUGGUUCAUACUUAAAUGGGAGACCAUCCAUGAUUCCUGAGGAUUUGUAGA
This 119-nucleotide ribosomal RNA is filed under the name Pogona vitticeps (central bearded dragon). The record is from RNAcentral. Lineage: Eukaryota; Metazoa; Chordata; Lepidosauria; Squamata; Agamidae.